This 890-nucleotide long non-coding RNA is filed under the name Olea europaea subsp. europaea. Lineage: Eukaryota; Viridiplantae; Streptophyta; Magnoliopsida; Lamiales; Oleaceae. The record is from RNAcentral.
UAAUUAUUAUUAUUUUCUUCUCUCUCUACACUCUCUCGUUUCUCUAUUCUUUUUCUUAUACACUACCAAAUCACUGUCGACGACAACACCUUGCCAACAGUGACUACAACAUGAUAGCAAAGUUCGCACAACAUAACAAGACCCAGUCAUUUGUCAUCCAGUUUUCAAAGAUUGCCUUGUGUCUUCGACGCUCAGUUCGCACGACGAUCUGAGUGUUGUAGUGAUGAUCUGAAUGGUGGUGGUUGGAUUUGGAGGUGGCGACAGCGAUUGUGAUGGUGUAGUGGUUGGUUUUUGUGGGUGUAUGUUUUUGUUGAGAUUUGAUAGUCCCGAUCUGUGGAAAUUUGAUCACGAACUGAUGCUAAAAAUUUGGGUUGAGUUUUAUUGGUUGUGUGCAGUUUCACCUACUUCGGCGAGUUGCUAUAAUGAAGAAGCGAAUUUGUAGAUGCGACUGUAAUGAAGAUGCUAAUUUGAAAAUUUGGACGAUAUUUUGGCGACUGGCAUUUGGAUGGUUCUUUGUGUGGUGGUGUGAUUUUUCGGCAUGUUUUGUUGCGUUUUUGAGGUGGUGGUGGUGGGUUUAUGGAUUCUUUGGUGGGAGUGGAGGUUAGGUGUACUGUAAAUGGAGAUAAAGGAAAUGAUGGUGGUAGUAGUGUGCUGUGGGCGGUAUGCUUAUGUUGGUGAGGUAAUGGUGGUUCUAGAGGUAGUGGUGCCCAACUAUUGUUGUGUUGUUGAUGAUGAUGGUGGUGGUGGUUGUUGUGGUGGCGAUGACGGUGACGAGUAGGGUGUCUAUGACCAAAAUUAGGCGUUUGUGACCAACUAUUUGGCUGAUUUGUAACUAAAUAUUAGGUGUCUGUGACUAAAAAAUAAUUUGUAAAUAAUAACUUGUGACUUAU